RNAcentral lists this ribosomal RNA (605 nucleotides) under Aurantiochytrium sp. RNAcentral's name for it is "SSU rRNA". It matches the Rfam family "Eukaryotic small subunit ribosomal RNA", at positions 385 to 1021 of the family's 1831-position model. Lineage: Eukaryota; Bigyra; Thraustochytrida; Thraustochytriidae. The record is from RNAcentral.
UCGGAGAGGGAGCCUGAGAGACGGCUACCAUAUCAGGAUAGCAGCAGGCGCGUAAAUUACCCACUGUGGACUCCACGAGGUAGUGACGAGAAAUAUCGAUGCGAAGCGUGUAUGCGUUUUGCUAUCGGAAUGAGAGCAAUGUAAAACCCUCAUCGAGGAUCAACUGGAGGGCAAGUCUGGUGCCAGCAGCCGCGGUAAUUCCAGCUCCAGAAGCAUAUGCUAAAGUUGUUGCAGUUAAAAAGCUCGUAGUUGAAUUUCUGGCAUGGGCGACCGGUGCUUUCCCUGAAUGGGGAUUGAUUGUCUGUGUUGCCUUGGCCAUCUUUYUCUUKYUUUUUUUGGKAWGARAUCUUUCACUGUAAUCAAAGCAGAGUGUUCCAAGCAGGUCGUAUGACCGGUAUGUUUAUUAUGGGAUGAUAAGAUAGGACUUGGGUGCUAUUUUGUUGGUUUGCACGCCUGAGUAAUGGUUAAUAGGAACAGUUGGGGGUAUUCGUAUUUAGGAGCUAGAGGUGAAAUUCUUGGUUUCCGAAAGACGAACUAGAGCGAAGGCAUUUACCAAGCAUGUUUUCAUUAAUCAAGAACGAAAGUCUGGGGAUCGAAGAUGAUUA